UCCCAGGACUUUAGAAGAGGUUGAAGGAC
This 29-nucleotide non-coding RNA is filed under the name Rattus norvegicus (Norway rat). Lineage: Eukaryota; Metazoa; Chordata; Mammalia; Rodentia; Muridae. The record is from RNAcentral.